UACGUAGGGUGCGAGCGUUGUCCGGAAUUAUUGGGCGUAAAGAGCUCGUAGGCGGUCCGUCGCGUCGAUUGUGAAAACCCGGGGCUCAACUCCGGGCUUGCACUCGAUACGGGCGGACUAGAGUUCGGUAGGGGAGACUGGAAUUCCUGGUGUAGCGGUGAAAUGCGCAGAUAUCAGGAGGAACACCGGUGGCGAAGGCGGGACUCUGGGCCGAUACUGACGCUGAGGAGCGAAAGCGUGGGGAGCAAACAGG
This 253-nucleotide ribosomal RNA is filed under the name uncultured bacterium. Its description in RNAcentral is "partial 16S ribosomal RNA". It matches the Rfam family "Bacterial small subunit ribosomal RNA", at positions 524 to 776 of the family's 1533-position model. The record is from RNAcentral.